GAUCCUGGCUCAGGAUGAACGCUGGCGGCGUGCUUAACACAUGCAAGUCGAACGAAGCACCUUGAUUUGAUUCUUCGGAUGAAGAUCUUGGUGACUGAGUGGCGGACGGGUGAGUAACGCGUGGGUAACCUGUCUCAAAGAGGGGGACAACAGUUGGAAACGACUGCUAAUACCGCAUAAGCCCACGGCUCGGCAUCGAGCAGGGGGAAAAGGAGCAAUCCGCUUUGAGAUGG
This 233-nucleotide ribosomal RNA is filed under the name uncultured bacterium. Its description in RNAcentral is "partial 16S ribosomal RNA". It matches the Rfam family "Bacterial small subunit ribosomal RNA", at positions 15 to 228 of the family's 1533-position model. The record is from RNAcentral.